AUUGAACGCUGGCGGCAGGCCUAACACAUGCAAGUCGAGCGGAUGAAGGGAGCUUGCUCCUGGAUUCAGCGGCGGACGGGUGAGUAAUGCCUAGGAAUCUGCCUGGUAGUGGGGGAUAACGUCCGGAAACGGGCGCUAAUACCGCAUACGUCCUGAGGGAGAAAGUGGGGGAUCUUCGGACCUCACGCUAUCAGAUGAGCCUAGGUCGGAUUAGCUAGUUGGUGGGGUAAAGGCCUACCAAGGCGACGAUCCGUAACUGGUCUGAGAGGAUGAUCAGUCACACUGGAACUGAGACACGGUCAAGACUCCUACGGGAGGCAGCAGUGGGGAAUAUUGGACAAAGGGCGAAAGCCUGAUCCAGCCAUGCCGCGUGUGUGAAGAAGGUCUUCGGAUUGUAAAGCACUUUAAGUUGGGAGGAAGGGCAGUAAGUUAAUACCUUGCUGUUUUGACGUUACCAACAGAAUAAGCACCGGCUAACUUCGUG
This 484-nucleotide ribosomal RNA is filed under the name uncultured bacterium. RNAcentral's name for it is "partial 16S ribosomal RNA". It matches the Rfam family "Bacterial small subunit ribosomal RNA", at positions 30 to 507 of the family's 1533-position model. The record is from RNAcentral.